RNAcentral lists this ribosomal RNA (742 nucleotides) under uncultured prokaryote. RNAcentral describes it as "bacterial SSU rRNA". It matches the Rfam family "Bacterial small subunit ribosomal RNA". The record is from RNAcentral.
UGUAGCCCAGGGAGUAAGGGCCAUGAUGACUUGACGUCGUCCCCACCUUCCUCUCGGUUUGCACAGGCAGUCUGUUUAGAGUCCCCAACAUUACGUGCUGGCAACUAAACAUAGGGGUCAGUACGGCAAGCAAUGGGCGAAAGCCUGACUCAGCAACGCCGCGUGAGUGAUGAAGGUUUUCGGAUCGUAAAGCUCUGUCAGAGGGGAAGAAACUCCCGGGUGUAAAUAACACUUGGGCCUGACGGUACCCUCAAAGGAAGCACCGGCUAACUCCGUGCCAGCAGCCGCGGUAAUACGGAGGGUGCAAGCGUUGUUCGGAAUUAUUGGGCGUAAAGCGCGUGUAGGCGGUUGUUUAAGUCUGAUGUGAAAGCCCUGGGCUCAACCCGGGAAGUGCAUUGGAAACUGGGCAACUUGAGUACGGGAGAGGGUAGUGGAAUUCCGAGUGUAGGGGUGAAAUCCGUAGAUAUUCGGAGGAACACCGGUGGCGAAGGCGGCUACCUGGACCGAUACUGACGCUGAGACGCGAAAGCGUGGGGAGCAAACAGGAUUAGAUACCCUGGUAGUCCACGCCGUAAACGAUGGGCACUAGGUGUGCGGGUAUUGACCCUGCAGUGCGAAGCUAACGCAUUAAUGCCCGCCUGGGGAGUACGGCGCAGUUAAACUCAAGGAAUGACGGGGCCGCCAACGGGGAAUUGGUUAAUUCACCCAGGCAAAACUUCCGGGUGAAUCCACGCCUUUUAUG